AUGGAGGGAACCCACUCGGUUUCUGCCUAGCCCUAUUCUCUCAAAACCCAAUCCCUAAUGACGCCUCUGCCUCUUUCUUUCACACUUGGUUUCUCAGUUCCCUCUCCAUCAAUCUUUCUCUCGCUCUCUCUCUCCCAGAGUCUUUCUACCCUCUCUCCGUCGCGUGAGCUACUGGAGCACACCACGCCAGAGGAGCAGGCUACUGAGAAUUCAUGGUUCCCGUUAUCGAGUUUUCAUAGAUUUGGGAUAAUAUCAUCUCUGGAUGACAUUUUGGGAUAACCAUGUUUGCUGAAUUCAUCAAGUAACGUUUUUGGUACUUAUGGUUUUAAAGGUUACGCAAGUGUUGCCGAGGCCAUUGCUUCUACUGAUGCCGAGGAUGAUUCCUCAGGUUCCGAUGAGGUUCAGGAGUUGUUAGACGAGAUGGAUACAUGAUUGGGGUCUUGUUGCCUUGGAACCAAUUGAGGCUGAGGACUUCGUUAUUGAAUAUGUUGGGGAGCUAAUUCGUCUUCGGGUUGAUGCAACAAAACGUGGUGGGAUUGCUAGGUUUAUAAACCAUUCUUGUGAGCCCAACUGCUACACCGAAGUUAUAAGUGUUGAGGGUGAAAAGAAAAUUUUUAUUUACGCUAAACGCCACAUAGCAGCUGGUGAUGAAAUCACAUAUAACUACAAGUUUCCUUUGGAGGAGAAAAAGAUUCCUUGCAACUGUGGUUCUAGAAGUGCCAUGGAUCAUUGAACUAAAUGACGACCUUUGAUUCUCUGGUUAUUUUCCCAAUCGCCCUGUCUCCUGACACUGUGUUGGCAGUCCACUUGUAAGAGAGGUUGCAACAAGAAUUACUGGACAAGCCUGGUACUCUUCCAUUUGAUGAGGAUAAUUGGCCUUCUGUGAUGUUUGCAAUGGCAGGAGGGGUGGUACUUAGCCUUGGAAAUCUCUCAACUCAGUAUGCUUGGGAUUUUGUUGGCUUAUCAGUCACAGAAGUGAUCACUGCAAGCAUAACAAUUGUUAUAAGUCCUUUCUUUCAUUCUCUCUCUGACCAUUUCUAAAUGUUGAUGUUUGUCUGUGUUGCUCUUAUAGAUACUAAUUUUUUUGGUUCUGUUGCGAUCUUUAAUGGUGACAGGAACAACCUUGAAUUACUUUUUAGACAAUAGAAUUAAUGGAGUCGAGAUCCUUUUCCCUGCUGUUGGCUGCUUCUUGGUUGCAGUUUGCCUUGCUUCUACUGUCCACUCAUCUAAUGCAGCUGAUAAUAAAGAAAAGCUUGAAGGUUUUUCAUCAAAAGAGGGGAGAAAAAUGUCUCUUUCUCCAUCAAUUGGAGGAGAAAAGGAUAUUUAAUUUUGAAGGAUUUGUGUUGGGCAGCUGUAGAAUAUUUUGUGCUGAAAGUAGUAACUUUUCAAUAUGUUGAAUAUUUAAGACUACUUGAAUACUUAAAGAACAUUUUGUUGUUGAUGAUAGUGUUGAAUGUUUUAAACUAAUUUUUGGAUUGUUAAUACAAUGUUGAAUGUUUUUACUUUUUGUUA
Long non-coding RNA from Humulus lupulus (European hop), 1512 nucleotides. RefSeq lists it as uncharacterized. NCBI's taxonomy places the organism in Eukaryota, Viridiplantae, Streptophyta, Magnoliopsida, Rosales, Cannabaceae. The record is from RefSeq and is a predicted model, not a curated record. The transcript has 8 exons.